Molecule: unclassified non-coding RNA, 651 nt
Filed under: Hevea brasiliensis (rubber tree)
Lineage: Eukaryota; Viridiplantae; Streptophyta; Magnoliopsida; Malpighiales; Euphorbiaceae
Source: RNAcentral
AAUAAUUCAACCCAUCAAUUAUCAAAAAAAUGCUUUCCUCCCUUUCUCACACCUCUUCUUCCACCACCGCUUUCUUCCUCUCUUCCUCCGCCAAAUUUCUCCGACCCAGAUUCUCUUCUUGUCCUUUCCAGUUCCCAAUUCAUCAAAAACGACACCGUUCUCUGUUUUCUCAUAGCACAGCAGCUUCAAUGGACUCGGCUGCCACCGUUGAUUCAGUUGCUGAUGAUUUAAAGAAACAAAACUUAAAAGGAGUUGAAAUUAAGCUUAAAUUGAAUCUCGAAGAGCUUAAUUGGGAUAACUCUUUUGUUCGUGAACUACCUGGCGACCCCAGAAGUGAUAGUAUUCCAAGAGAGGUGUUGCAUGCUUGCUACACGAAAGUGUUACCCUCUGUACCGGUCAAUAACCCUCAGCUUGUAGCAUGGUCAGAAUCAGUGGCGGAGUUACUUGAAUUGGAUCCUAGAGAAUUUGAGAGGCCUGAUUUUCCCCUUAUUUUCUCUGGGGCAUCACCAUUGGUGGGAGCGAUACCUUAUGCCCAAAAUUAUGGAGGACAUCAGUUUGGCAUGUGGGCCGGGCAGUUAGGGGAUGGUAGGGCAAUAACUCUUGGAGAGAUAUUGAAUUCAAAGUCACAAAGGUGGGAGCUGCAGCUUAAGG